AGCCUUUCAGGAUCACACCUGGAGAUUUUCCAGUCCUCUACCAGUCUCAGCUACGGGAGGGAGAGUCAAGCAGAGGCCUACCCAUUUCAUUCCUAGCUUGGCCAGUGGCUAGCGAGUGGAAGACAAACUGCUACAAGU
This is a small nucleolar RNA of Tachyglossus aculeatus (Australian echidna), 138 nucleotides long. NCBI's taxonomy places the organism in Eukaryota, Metazoa, Chordata, Mammalia, Monotremata, Tachyglossidae. The record is from RefSeq and is a predicted model, not a curated record.